Long non-coding RNA from Mytilus californianus (California mussel), 128 nucleotides. RefSeq lists it as uncharacterized. Lineage: Eukaryota; Metazoa; Mollusca; Bivalvia; Mytilida; Mytilidae. The record is from RefSeq and is a predicted model, not a curated record. The transcript has 4 exons.
CAGGUAUAGAAGGUGUCAUUCUCAGGUAUAGAAGGUGUCAUUCUCAGGUAUAGAAGGUGUCAUUCUCAGGUAUAGAAGGUGUCAUUCUCAGGUAUAGAAGGUGUCAUUCUCAGGUAUAGAAGGUGUCA